Molecule: ribosomal RNA, 433 nt
Filed under: uncultured bacterium
Lineage: Bacteria
Description: partial 16S ribosomal RNA
Rfam family: Bacterial small subunit ribosomal RNA
Source: RNAcentral
AACGAACGCUGGCGGCAUGCCUAACACAUGCAAGUCGAACGAGACCUUCGGGUCUAGUGGCGCACGGGUGCGUAACGCGUGGGAACCUGCCCUUAGGUUCGGAAUAACUCCCCGAAAGGGGUGCUAAUACCGGAUAAUGUCCUCGGACCAAAGAUUUAUCGCCUUUGGAUGGGCCCGCGUUGGAUUAGCUAGUUGGUAGGGUAAAAGCCUACCAAGGCUACGAUCCAUAGCUGGUCUGAGAGGAUGAUCAGCCACACUGGGACUGAGACACGGCCCAGACUCCUACGGGAGGCAGCAGUGGGGAAUAUUGGAAAAUGGGCGGAAGGCUGAUGCAGCAAUGCCGCGUGAGUGAUGAAGGCCUUAGGGUUGUAAAGCUCUUUUACCCGGGAUGAUAAUGACAGUACCGGGAGAAUAAGCUCCGGCUAACUCCGUG